UCCCGUGUGGCUCAGUUGGUAGAGCAUGGUGUUUGCAACGCCAGGGUUAUGGGUUCAAUUCCCACAGGGGAC
Molecule: transfer RNA, 72 nt
Filed under: Salmo salar (Atlantic salmon)
Lineage: Eukaryota; Metazoa; Chordata; Actinopteri; Salmoniformes; Salmonidae
Rfam family: tRNA
About the family: Transfer RNA (tRNA) molecules are approximately 80 nucleotides in length.
Source: Rfam by way of RNAcentral